CGGGAUGUAGCGCAGUCCGGUAGCGCACCUGCUUUGGGAGCAGGGGGCCCCAGGUUCAAAUCCUGGUAUCCCGA
This 74-nucleotide transfer RNA is filed under the name Saprospiraceae bacterium. Its description in RNAcentral is "tRNA-Pro". It matches the Rfam family "tRNA". Rfam says of the family: Transfer RNA (tRNA) molecules are approximately 80 nucleotides in length. Their secondary structure includes four short double-helical elements and three loops (D, anti-codon, and T loops). Lineage: Bacteria; Pseudomonadati; Bacteroidota; Saprospiria; Saprospirales; Saprospiraceae. The record is from RNAcentral. RNAcentral also lists the same sequence under 1 other name.